CUUGACUGUAUCUCGGAAUUGGGUUCGGGCUUUUCUUGCGCAGACUAGGUGGGAGGCUAUGAAGAUUUUCUUCCGGGGAAGUUGGAGCCAACAGUGAGAGACCACUCUGGAAAGGCUAGAAUCCUAAUGGUGAUCCUUGAAUCAGGACACUUGACAGUUUCAGGUGGGCAGUUUUUCUGGGGCGGAAGCCUCAUAAAGGGUAACUGAGGCGCGCAAAGGUCCCCUCAGUCUGGACGGAAAUCAGACAACGAGUGUAAAGGCAAAAGGGGGCUUGACUGCAAGACCUACAAGUCGAGCAGGAGCGAAAGCUGGCCUUAGUGAUCCGACGGUACCGUGUGGAAGGGCCGUCGCUCAACGAAUAAAAGUUA
Molecule: ribosomal RNA, 368 nt
Filed under: uncultured organism
Description: bacterial LSU rRNA
Rfam family: Bacterial large subunit ribosomal RNA
Source: RNAcentral